This 77-nucleotide small RNA is filed under the name Chryseobacterium taichungense. RNAcentral's name for it is "Flavo-1 RNA". It matches the Rfam family "Flavo-1 RNA". The record is from RNAcentral. Lineage: Bacteria; Pseudomonadati; Bacteroidota; Flavobacteriia; Flavobacteriales; Weeksellaceae.
UCUUAGCCCCGAUAGAAACGGCAUCCUUUUUUGUUUUGUAAGAAACAAAAAAGAUAUAGUGGAUAGCGGGAAACAGC